AGCGGUCUCUGAAAUCCUUGAAAGUCUUUAAAUUUGAAUGCAGGUCUUUAAGGUCUUUGAAAAGUCUUUGAAUUGUGUGAAAAAGCGAAGAAAGUCUUUAAAAGUCUUUAAAUUCUUUAGUGAGUAUUUGAUUAUACGAUUUCCUAGCUAAUAAAAUAGAUUGAUUGAAGCAAGAUUUUCGCAAACUCGACGAAAAGGCGCAUUUUAGGAUGUGAAUUGACGGGACUAAUCAGUAUUGGGUAAAAAUGUUGCUUUCCGAC
This is a non-coding RNA of Paramuricea clavata, 260 nucleotides long. NCBI's taxonomy places the organism in Eukaryota, Metazoa, Cnidaria, Anthozoa, Malacalcyonacea, Plexauridae. The record is from the annotation of a GenBank genome assembly.